Molecule: non-coding RNA, 836 nt
Organism: Arachis ipaensis
Lineage: Eukaryota; Viridiplantae; Streptophyta; Magnoliopsida; Fabales; Fabaceae
Source: RefSeq, a predicted model, not a curated record
ACUGCACCCCGUCGCACCUAGGUCACCGCCGUGGAGCCGUCGCCACCGUUCCACCGAGCCGCUGCUGUCAUCGCGUACCAGAGGAGAAGACGAACGCGAGGAGAGGGAGAGCUCGUGCAUGAAGGGUACCGCCGCUGUGCCGCCGUCGCGCCUCCAUCAUCGUCGAACUGCCUUGCUAUCGUUAGCUCCAUCGGGUCUGGUUGCCGUCGAGGGAACUGUCACCGUCGCGGCUGUGGGCAUGGGAUUUGAAGGGAAGAGACGCGAAUGGCCAGGGAGAAGGGGAGAAGAACGCCGCUGUUCCGCCAUUCCUCAUCAUGGCUGAAGCUUGCCGUCACUGGCUAUCGCCGCUGUCGGAACCCUAGCCGUCGCCGUUGGAGGAGCCAUUGCCGGGCGAAACCCCAGCGGUCACAGCUACUAUACAAGCCACCAAUAGGGAGAGCGGCUACUGUGUGGGAAGACGAAGGAGGUAACGAAGGUACCUGGUGCCGCUAUUACCAUCGCUGUCGCCAGAGUUUCUAAUUGCUGCCAUUAUGAAUGUAUCGCUGAGUUCUGCAGUACCGGUUGAGAUCAUGACUACUGCAGACGUGUUCGAAAUCAGAGCUACUGCCACUGCUCCAGCUACAUUGGGGGUUGCUGCCGCUGCUGAGAAUUAAUGAUAAAAAGGGUAUUAUUGCGUUUAAAUUCUACGAUUCCGGGCAAUCGAGUGACAGGUUCAAGGACUCAAUUUGAAGCUGCGGGCGAUUAUUAGACUUAUUUAUGAGUUAAGUUUAUGAGUUGAGUUGCUUUCAUAGAAUUCCCUCGUCUUUGUUGUUUAAGAUUUUAUUUUAUACAGAGGG